GAGGCAGCGCUCUGGAGACGUCUCCACCAUGGCCUGGGCUCUGCUCCUCCUCACCCUCCUCACUCAGGGCACAGGCUCUUGGGCCCAGUCUGCCCUGAUUCAGCCUCCCUCCGUGUCCGGGUCUCCUGGACAGUCAGUCACCAUCUCCUGCACUGGAACCAGCAGUGAUGUUGGGAGUUAUGACUAUGUCUCCUGGUACCAACGGCACCCAGGCACAGUCCCCAAACCCACGAUCUACAAUGUCAAUACUCGGCCCUCAGGGGUCCCUGAUCGUUUCUCUGGCUCCAAGUCUAGCAAUACGGCCUCCAUGACCAUCUCUGGACUCCAGGCUGAGGACGAGGCUGAUUAUUAGUGCUGCUCAUAUAC
This is a non-coding RNA of Pan troglodytes (chimpanzee), 366 nucleotides long. NCBI's taxonomy places the organism in Eukaryota, Metazoa, Chordata, Mammalia, Primates, Hominidae. The record is from the annotation of a RefSeq genome assembly.